Molecule: long non-coding RNA, 332 nt
Organism: Erpetoichthys calabaricus (reedfish)
Lineage: Eukaryota; Metazoa; Chordata; Cladistia; Polypteriformes; Polypteridae
Exons: 3
Source: RefSeq, a predicted model, not a curated record
CUGAUGUGCAGUUCAUGUUAGAUUUGCUAUUUCCACAGUUACAGUGAAGUAGAAGAGUCCGGUCGUGUUAUGGGGCAGCAGUUAAAGAAGGAGGAUGGAGAGAUGUAUGCUAUGUUGAAGUAGUGGGUAGCCCUCCUGCCCGGCACUUCUAGAAUCCUCCAUCUCAACCUCUGCUCUGAUCUGCUGUGUCUUUGCCAAGUGAUCAGAAGUUUAUUGCAAUGGUGCCCCCCCUGCAUCUCCACCGUCUGUUACAUCAACUCCAACUACCAGAGAGAAACAAAGUUCACAAGAUGUCCUGAAAUGGAAUUGUGACUGGACUGAGACAACCACAA